Sphaeramia orbicularis (orbiculate cardinalfish) is the source of this 124-nucleotide small nucleolar RNA. Its record names the gene SNORA71. It matches the Rfam family "Small nucleolar RNA SNORA71". From Rfam's summary of the family: The members of this family belong to the H/ACA class of snoRNAs which bind a number of proteins (including dyskerin, Gar1p and Nop10p) to form snoRNP complexes. This class of snoRNAs are thought to guide the sites of modification of uridines to pseudouridines by forming direct base pairing interactions with substrate RNAs. This family includes U71 (SNORA71), ACA39 (SNORA39) and ACA60 (SNORA60). NCBI's taxonomy places the organism in Eukaryota, Metazoa, Chordata, Actinopteri, Kurtiformes, Apogonidae. The record is from Ensembl.
UCCUGUAUCGAAAGUGAUUAUGGCGGUGUUGUGCCCUGGUCAUUGAUAGUACAGGAACAUCAACCUGCGAGCCUUUCCCGUGUUUGAAGGAUUCUGUUCUGUCAAACCCUGGCGCUCGCAGACA